Molecule: ribosomal RNA, 254 nt
Filed under: uncultured bacterium
Lineage: Bacteria
Description: partial 16S ribosomal RNA
Rfam family: Bacterial small subunit ribosomal RNA
Source: RNAcentral
UACGGGGGGAGCAAGCGUUGUUCGGAUUUACUGGGCGUAAAGGGCGGGUAGGCGGCCACCGCAAGUCAGUUGGGAAAUCUCUGGGCUUAACCCAGAAAGGUCAACUGAUACUGCGGGGCUAGAGUGCAGAAGGGGCAACUGGAAUUCUCGGUGUAGCGGUGAAAUGCGUAGAUAUCGAGAGGAACACCUGCGGCGAAGGCGGGUUGCUGGGCUGACACUGACGCUGAACUGCGAAAGCUAGGGGAGCGAACGGG